Molecule: ribosomal RNA, 424 nt
Filed under: uncultured bacterium
Lineage: Bacteria
Description: partial 16S ribosomal RNA
Rfam family: Bacterial small subunit ribosomal RNA
Source: RNAcentral
AAUAUUGGACAAUGGGCGAAAGCCUGAUCCAGCCAUGCCGCGUGUGUGAAGAAGGUCUUCGGAUUGUAAAGCACUUUAAGUUGGGAGGAAGGGGUUGAAGCUAAUACGUUCAAUCUUUGACGUUACCAACAGAAUUAGCACCGGUCAACUCUGUUCCAGCAGCCGCGGUAAUACAGUGGGUGCAAGCUUUAAUCGGAAUUACUGGGCGUAAAGCGCGCUGAGGUGGUUCAGUAAGAUGGAAGUGAAAUCCCCGGGCUUAACCUGGAAACUGCUUUCAUAACUGCUGAGCUAGAGUACGGUAGAGGGUAGUGGAAUUUCCUGUGUAGCGGUGAAAUGCGUAGAUAUAGGAAGGAACACCAGUGGCGAAGGCGACUACCUGGACUGAUACUGACACUGAGGUGCGAAAGCGUGGGGAGCAAACAGG